Molecule: ribosomal RNA, 274 nt
Filed under: uncultured bacterium
Lineage: Bacteria
Description: partial 16S ribosomal RNA
Rfam family: Bacterial small subunit ribosomal RNA
Source: RNAcentral
CUACGGAGGGUGCAAGCGUUAUUCGGAAUCACUGGGCGUAAAGGACGCGUAGGCGGGUUGGCAAGUCAGAUGUGAAAUCCUACAGCUUAACUGUAGAACUGCAUUUGAAACUGCUAACCUAGAGUAUGGGAGGGGGAGAUGGAAUUAGUGGUGUAGGGGUAAAAUCCGUAGAUAUCACUAGGAAUACCGAAAGCGAAGGCGAUCUCCUGGAACAUAACUGACGCUAAGGCGUGAAAGCGUGGGGAGCAAACAGGAUUAGAUACCCUUGUAGUCC